CCUACGGGAGGCAGCAGUAGGGAAUCUUCCACAAUGGGCGAAAGCCUGAUGGAGCAACGCCGCGUGGGUGAAGAAGGUCUUCGGAUCGUAAAACCCUGUUGUUAGAGAAGAAAGUGCGUGAGAGUAACUGUUCACGUUUCGACGGUAUCUAACCAGAAAGCCACGGCUAACUACGUGCCAGCAGCCGCGGGAAUACGUAGGUGGCAAGCGUUAUCCGGAUUUAUUGGGCGUAAAGGGAACGCAGGCGGUCUUUUAAGUCUGAUGUGAAAGCCUUCGGCUUAACCGGAGUAGUGCAUUGGAAACUGGGAGACGUGAGUGCAGAAGAGGAGAGUGGAACGCCAUGUGUAGCGGUGAAAUGCGUAGAUAUAUGGAAGAACACCAGUGGCGAAAGCGGCUCUCUGGUCUGUAACUGACGCUGAGGUUCGAAAGCGUGGGUAGCAAACAGGAUUAGAUACCCUUGUAGUC
Molecule: ribosomal RNA, 465 nt
Filed under: uncultured bacterium
Lineage: Bacteria
Description: partial 16S ribosomal RNA
Rfam family: Bacterial small subunit ribosomal RNA
Source: RNAcentral